This 1748-nucleotide unclassified non-coding RNA is filed under the name Hevea brasiliensis (rubber tree). The record is from RNAcentral. Lineage: Eukaryota; Viridiplantae; Streptophyta; Magnoliopsida; Malpighiales; Euphorbiaceae.
GCCAUGAACAAGAACAAGAAGAUGGUCGGGUUCAUUAUUCCCAUUCACAAUUCUCUUGGGUGAUGAAAAUUUUUCUUGAGUUGUAGUAUUCAUAGCUUCAGCUCUAAGGCCUUGGUUUUUCCAAUAACUAUUUACACCUUCAACAGAUCUUAUAAUCCCAAACGCACUAUUGAGAUUUAUGCACGCAUAUUUCAUGUACGUAAAUUUCAAAAAAAUAAAAUAAAAAGGAGAGCAUAUUAACCUGCCAAAAACUAUAAACCACCAUACAACAAAAGCAUACAUAAAGAGAUAAGAUGAUGCAGGCUCAUGAAAUAAAUCCUUCUUAUGCAAGAAAGAGAAGUUUACAAAACUACAGAACCAUAACAGAUAUACUUUAUAGCAGAUUAAGAUGUGGAUGCAUAGAAAGUCCUAGCUAACUAAUUUGAAUAUCAAGAUGGUAUGCUUGCAUGUCACGAAAACUGAGUCUGCCUGCUGCUUAGAUGAUGCCUAUGUGAUCCUUCAAUUUUCUUGACCUUCUAGGUUUUAGAGAGAUCAAUUAACCAGAAUUUAUAUGUUUUCUUUUCUUUUUUAAAACUUUUGAUAUGUGUCAUAGGUUUCAGAUAUUGCAGCACAGAUGAGUCAGAAAGAAUAUGAAUGUACAAAACUACUAAAUGUAUUAUGGGUUUAACUUGGUACCAUCUAAAGUCUUUUCACCACUUCAGCUUUUCUUAAGCCUAUAGUUAAUCUCAUGUUGAUCCAUUUCAAGGACAGGAUCAGUUUGGUUCUUAGUACAGGUAAAAAUUUACAAAUCCAUCAGGGACUCCCUUGACAAAUAAAAUUGUAAAACUUCUACAUAAAGAUUUUCCUGAAAAGGUCUAAUAUAAUAACACCUUCUUUUGAUUAUGUAUUUAAGAUCACUAGCAUUUAGUUCAUAGAACUUUCAAAAGACCUAUGUGUUGGGUUUCAGUCAGGUCGAAAUCUGAUGAAAUUUCCAAUGAUCUAACUCAAUUAGUCACUGGGCAUGUAUGGCAGUGCAUGAUCCCAGAGUUUGAAAAUUAAAUAUCUAAAUAUUGGAUUGCCUCAUGUCAAGUGUCCCUGCUACGGAUGUAUUUCAGAAUUAGAUAUGGAGAUUUUAGCUCUUAUUUUAUAAACUUUUGCAGCUAAAACUAAUUCAGUUCAAAUAGUAGGAGCCUGAACAAUGACAUUAGAAUCUACAAGGAGGUUGCAACAAGAGACGGGGGAAAGAGGAAACACACACAAUAGAAAAUAAAUUGAAAGCCUUUCCAGUUCCCUUAGCACAUAAAUUUCCACAGUUUAAAACUGUAAGCUGCUUGGAAAUUAGCAAUCAAAACAAACCACAUUUAUCUUCUUACUUCGAUUGAAUCUCCCAUAAUCAAAAAAUGACCUUCGUUAAUGAAAUUAGCAUUCUCAAAAAUAUCCCAAAAGCGCUAUAAAAUUAGAAGUACAUGUAGAUGUAAUCUCAGAGCUACACAUAAGAAUUUUAAAAAAGAAAAUUGAAACUUUAGAAAGAAAACCGCUCCUAUUCACAAAAUUCUCUCUAAAAGAUAAACAAAUAAGCAAGCAACAAACAAUUUUUUAAAGCUCUCAUCAAUGAGCAACCAACAUACAAUGCCAAAAACAAAUGUUAAAUCCCAAAAAGAAGGAAAGAAAUAAAUUACCAGAAGAGAAGUUAGUUCCCUGAGAUGAACAACACGAACAGGAAGAAGAGGAUGGUGAAUAUGAGGUGGAACCGACAGGUCCUCCAUAAG